CCUGGUUCAAUGUCAUGACCAUUUCAUCCUGUACAAUAAACCACUUCUCUCAUUCCAUUCCAUCUUCUCCCCACCUAACCUAUUUGUGAGGGAAUUUUCUGAUGAGGUUAAUUGAGAUGGGAAGACCCACCCUAGUAAGAGUGGUACCGUUCCAUGGGCAGGGGCUCUGAAUUCAAUGAAAAGGAAAGGGGAGGCUGAGCAUCAUUAUUCAUCUAUCUCUGCUCCUUCAUUGUAGGGCAGUGUGCCCCGCUACCUCAUACUCCUGUGACCACACCCUCCUUGCCUGCCACGAUGGACUGUACCUUCAAAUGCUAAGCCAAGGCAAAAGGAGCAAAUUAAUAUUUUUGAGCACAUGAAACAUAAAAUGCAAGAUGCAAAAAGAGAAAAUCAGCAGCGCUCGCUCGAUGGCUCAAAUUUUUUAAAAAAUCAUUGUCUACAAUUUUUUUUAUCAUCUGUGUAAGAUUCCAGCCCUUUCACAGGAACUACUGUCUGCUAGCCUCCACGGGAAAUCCCCUCCAUACUAAUGUCAAGAGUUUUCUUUAAUGGAAAAACAGUUGUCAGCCCCGGGGGUGUAAGCGUCCUCCCUAAGGCCAUCUCUAGACCAUGCCAGGCUGCAGGGCACAGGAGUGAGCAAGGAUGCCCACGUCAUGCUCGGUCCUUAGCAACCAAGUGAGUUGGUAGGUGUCAUUGCUGCUUUCCCUCCUGGUGUCAGAGGAAUAAGAAAUCACAACCUGAAGGAGCCCUGCAGCCAGGAAACCUCACCAAAAGCAAGUGACAGCAGGACUUGCCAGCUGGAGUUCCCCCGCUUUUCAACACAAGUACCGGUUUGCUUUGCUGAGGUAAGAUGUGCUACGGGCCCAGGCUAACCUGGAAUGUGCGUUCCUCCUGCAGCUCCCUCAGGGCUGGGAUCAUGAGUCUGCACUUCUGGACCGGGUGACCACUAUCAGCUCAUUUGACUUACGUUGUCAUCCAGAGGUCAGCGCAAAUCGGAGAUGUGUUAUUAUGUCUUUAUUCUAUAGUACCUUUGGCAUGGGGAGGUGCUUAGUCAUCGAGAAAGUGAGCAGACCGAAGAAAAUAAGGGAGGAGGAAAGGGAGGCUGGAAGGUGGCUAUGCACAUGGGAAGACAAGAACGGGGAAUGAUGGGAAGAACAGUGGUACUUAGAUUACCGAUAUAAUAAGGAGACUUUCCAUGUAAAAAUUCUGUCUUGAUAGCUUGUUAAAAUUUAUGAUGUAAGUGGAACUUACUCUACACCUGUUACAUCCACUUGUAAAGAGUAUUUGUUCUGUGACUUAUUAUUUGUAAAAGAGCACUAACCAUCAGCACAUGGCCCAAGAAUGGUGUGAGGAGAUUUCUGAGUACUUGUGAGAAAACUUUAAGGAAACAAGACACAAGUCUUGCGACCUCAAUUUAUUCAAAACACGGAAUUGUUCUGGGAAUGUGUUUUCAUGCUCCUCCCAGGUGUAGCAGAUAGGAGUGAGUUUACUUCAGCUAUUGCUAUUCAUACAUCUCUGUGCUAGACAGUUUUAUGUCAACUUGACAUAAAGUUAUUUGAGAGGAGGGAUCCUCAAUUAAGAAAAUACCUCCAUAAGAUCAGGCCAUAGGCAAGCCUACAGGCCAUUUUCUUAAUCAUUGAUUCAUAGUGGGGAGAACCCAGCCCAUUACAGGUGAGGGCACCUCUGGGCUAGUGGUCCUGGGUUCUAUAAGAGAGCAGGCUGAGCAAGUGAUGGGGAGAAAGCCUGUACACAGGAUCCCUCAUGGCCUCUGUAUCAGCUCCUGUCUCCAGCUUUCUGCCCUGCUUGAGGUCCUGUCCUGACUUCCUCCAAUGAAGGACUAUGAUCUGGAAGUGUAAGUCAAAUUAACCCUUUUCUCCCCAACUUGCUUUUUGGUCAUAGUGUUUUGUUGCAGCAAUAGAAACCCUAACUAAGACAGCCUCUGUGGGAAAACAUGUUUUUGCCAUGUGUGACUUGUCCUUAUGAUUGAACACUGUAUAAGUUGCCUGGUGCACUGAAUAAAGUUGUCUGUUGCAUGAGA
Long non-coding RNA from Peromyscus californicus insignis, 2032 nucleotides. RefSeq lists it as uncharacterized. The transcript is spliced from 2 exons. Lineage: Eukaryota; Metazoa; Chordata; Mammalia; Rodentia; Cricetidae. The record is from RefSeq and is a predicted model, not a curated record.